Molecule: non-coding RNA, 2952 nt
Organism: Chlorocebus sabaeus (green monkey)
Lineage: Eukaryota; Metazoa; Chordata; Mammalia; Primates; Cercopithecidae
Source: RefSeq, a predicted model, not a curated record
GGUCGCGUCACUGUACUCUAGCCCGGGCAACACAGCGAGACUGUGUCUUAAAACACACACACACACACACACACAAAUAAUAAUAAUAAUAAUAAUCUGUUUCUCUCUUGAAAAUGUUUCAGUGUGGAUAAGUUAUCACACCAUAUAAUCAAAAACCUAAUUGCAGAAGUGCUGUGAAAUGGAUGAUGUGCUUUAUUUUCUGCUAGAGAUGUCACAGACUAGCUUUAGUUCUAUCAAGUGAAACAGUGAUGUUGCCAGAACUUGGAACCUUGGAAACAGUUUAUUAUUGUUACAUUGUCCACAGAAAUACUUGGUAAUUCUGGGAGUCUGAAGUCAGGUGUCAAAAACUGUUCAUUUUCUAGUAGGGGUAAGUAAGGUAAGCCAUGACUUUCUAAGUCGGAAGUAGAGAAAACAGCAUAAAACUGAAGAAAAAAAUAGUAGAAGGAAGGAGGUAGAAAGAAAAAAGAAAUCUUAUCUGUGCAUGAUACAUAGCAAGAGUUUUGUAUUUAACUCAGUGCCACAGUAAUAAUAGCAAUAACUACAGAUAGUUUAACUUGAAUUUAAUUACUCCAUGCUAGAAGAUGCUUGCUAUAGAAACAAUUUGCCUUUCUCUCAUGAUGCUGUAUAUUAAUUAGCUGUUUUAAAAACCAGAUAUCACUGAAGUCAAUUUUGUUGUUGUUGUUUUGAGACAAGAGUCUCACUCUGUCGCCCAGGCUGGCGUGCAGUGGCACAAUCACAGCUCACUGUAGUCUUGACCUCCCUGGGCUCAGGUAAUCCUCCCGCCUCAGCCUCCCAAGUAGUUGGUACUACAGGCACACACCACCACACCCAGCUAAUUUUCUAUUUUUGGUAGAUACAGAGUUUCGCCAUGUUGCCCAGGUCGGUCUCUAACUCCUGGGCUCAAGUGAUCUGCCUGCCUCGGCCUCCCAAAGUGCUGGGAUUACAGAUUUGAGCCACAGUGUCCAGCAGAUUUUUUAGUGGACAAAGUGUGAGUUGGUCUAUAAAAUAAUUUAUUCCCAAGGGCCUUAUUCUAGUUUGGUAGGGUUUUUUGUUUGUUUGUUUCUGAAAGAAAAUGUGACCCAAAAUGCCAGUUGGAAUACUUAGCAGCUUUUUGGUCUUGGACAAGUUAUUUAACCUUAGCUUUAACUUCUUCAUCUUUUCAAUAGGAAUGGAUAAUAAUGCCCAUCUUUCAGAGUCCUUCUGAUAAUUAAAUGAGGUGAUGUAAAAGAAGUAACUAGUUUAAUGUUGGUGCUUAAUAGAGAAUAGCUGUCCUGUGUUAUUUCCCACCACCAUCUCCCUCUCUGUCUAGGUGCUCAGUCUCUCUAGUAGCCCAACUCUGUCAGUCAUUCACACCUACUGUAGUGUACCAUCAUCUUACUGCCUUUCACUGUCCUCUCAUUCCCCUCAUAACUUUACUUCCCUCUUUAUCCUGCUUCAACUCCAUGAGCCACCGUGACAGUCAGUACACAUACCCCCAGCCCCUACCCUACCCCUCUUGCUGUCUUAUACAAGAAAUCACAACCCUGAUUAUAUCAGCACAGAUGUGCUGACCAGCCUCACUCUAAAUUUAUGUUCGCUAGCCUCAGCAGUCAUGGUCACUUCCUAGCAGUCACACUAUACUUCCAUAAUCCAUUUCACUUUUCUACAUGGCUGUUCCAUUCGUUUUCCUCAAGCCUCCAACACUUCCUCCCCCAUCUUCAAUUUCAGCCCUUUAACCGUGCUUUCUAUAAUAGUUAACUGAGAAAAGAACAGCAAACAAAAGAUAAUUUUGAUAAACUUACCCUUCAUAUACCCAAUUACCUGUAUCCUUCCCCCAAACUUCUAUUUUUUUUUUUUUUCUGGUAAAUAUGGAUAAACUGUUCUUACGUCUGUCUAAGACCACCCUUCCGCUUGUGCAGUAUUCGUCCCCUCUUGGUGAGUCAAGGACAUUGCUCCAGCAGUUCUCUACUCUCCUCAGUUUUUCCUUGCCUAACGCAUCUUUCUGUCUGCUUACAGACAGGCGAUUAUUUCUUCUAUCUUAAGAACAACCAAAAAAACUCCACUGUACUUGAACUGCAUUUCCUCUUUUCUAACGAUUGCCCCAUUUCUAUCCUUCCCUUUAUAACAAAACUCCUUGAAGUUGUCUACACCACUGGUGUUCAUUCAUUUCUGAGCCCUCUUUACUAAGGUUUUUAUUCCUACAUAUGAAGUUUUCUUAUCAGAGUUACCAAAGAUUUCCAUGUUGCCAAAUCCAGUAGUCAGUUCUUGGUCUCAUUCUACUUCACCAGUCAGCAUUACAUGGCACAAUUGCUCUGUGCUCUGUGAAGCAUUUUCUUCACUUGAUCGUAUGCCAUUUUUUUCCUCAUAUCUCACUGGUUACCUCUCAAUCUCCUUUGUUGUGUUGAUUCAACUCCGAAGCCGCCAAAUGUUGGAGAGCUCCAGGGCUCAGUUACCUCCCCUUUUCUCCCUCUGUCUGUUAGCAUUUGUUUAGUCAUCUGCGUUCUUUUGAUGAUCUCAUCCAUCUAGUUCCUGGUUUUAAAUACUACCUGUAUAUCAUUGACUCCUAUCUCUAGCCUGGAUUUCUCCUCUAACUCCUGACUUGUAUAUCACAUUGCCUCUUUAACAUCUCUACUUGUAGGGAUGUCUGCUUAGAAUCUCAAUUCAGCAUCCCCUAAACCUGUUCCUCCAUCAGCCUUUCCCAUCUAAUCAAUUGACAGCUCUAUUCUAGUUGGUAAGACCAAACACCUUGGAGCCAUCCUUAAUUCCUCCCUCUCUCUCUCACCUCAUGUGAUCCUAACCUAUCAGCUCUGCUUUCAAACUAGGUGCAGAAUUUGACCUCUGACCACCCCUACUACCGUGGUCCAUUAUCUCUCACUAAUCUAUUCAGAGAUCCUCAGAUUCCUGUUUCUUGUUUCCAGUAUGUACCUCUCAGUUGAUUCUUUCCACUCCUCCCAAUUUUACUUGAGUGGAUCU